RNAcentral lists this ribosomal RNA (466 nucleotides) under uncultured bacterium. RNAcentral describes it as "partial 16S ribosomal RNA". It matches the Rfam family "Bacterial small subunit ribosomal RNA", at positions 28 to 507 of the family's 1533-position model. The record is from RNAcentral.
GAUGAACGCUGGCGGCGUGCUUAACACAUGCAAGUCGAACGGAAAGGCCCAAGCUUGCUUGGGUACUCGAGUGGCGAACGGGUGAGUAACACGUGGGUGAUCUGCCCUGCACUUCGGGAUAAGCCUGGGAAACUGGGUCUAAUACCGGAUAGGACCACAUUUUGGAUGGUGUGGUGGAAAGUUUUUCGGUGUGGGAUGAGCUCGCGGCCUAUCAGCUUGUUGGUGGGGUAAUGGCCUACCAAGGCGUCUACGGGUAGCCGGCCUGGGCGGGUGGACGGCCACCUUGGGACUGAGAUACGGCCCAGACUCCUACGGGGGGCCGCAGUGGGGAAUCUUGCACCAUGGGCGCGAGCCUGAUGCAGCGAAGCCGCGUGGGGGAUGACGGCCUUCGGGUUGUAAACUCCUUUCGCUAGGGACGAAGCGUUAUGUGACGGUACCUGGAGAAGAAGCACCGGCUAACUACGUG